UUUUAUUGAAUUUAACUUUUAAGUGAAAAGGCUUAAAUAUUCUAGAGGGACGAUAAGACCCUAUAAAGCUUUAUAAAUUUAAAAAUCUUAUAUAUUUUUAUAUAAAAAUAAUUUUUGAGGAGUUUAUUUGGUUGGGGCGACAGUGGUAUAAGUAAUGUAACUGCUAUAGUGUUUAACAAAAAUAUUUGUUUAGUGUAAGUAAUUGAUCCUUUAUAAGGAUUUUAAGAUCAAGUUACUUUAGGGAUAACAGCGUUAUUUUUUCUGAGAGUUCUUAUCAAAGAAAAAGUUUGCGACCUCGAUGUUGAAUUAAAAUGUCUUUAUAGUGCAGCAGCUAUAAAAGAAGGUCUGUUCGACCUUUAAUAUUUUACAUGAUUUGAGUUCAGACCGGCGGGAGCCAGGUCGGUUUCUAUCUUCUAGAGAUAGUGAGAGUAUCUUAGUACGAAAGGAUUGGGUAGUCAAAAAUUUUUUUUAAAAUGAAGU
Molecule: ribosomal RNA, 480 nt
Filed under: Charybdis feriata
Lineage: Eukaryota; Metazoa; Arthropoda; Malacostraca; Decapoda; Portunidae
Description: partial 16S ribosomal RNA
Rfam family: Bacterial large subunit ribosomal RNA (bases 19-420)
Source: RNAcentral